GGAUGUGCUAUAAAUACUAAAAGGAUGCUAUAUAUUGCUCCUACUUCAAGGUAUGGCAUUUAUUUUUGUGAGAUUGGAUCUAAAGGGAGAAAGAAAAGGAAUUAACAGUUGUAUUUGCCUGUUAUGUUCUAGGUAUUUUACAUAUGGAUUUCUAACAUUAAUUCUUAUAACCACCCUGUGAGGUAGGCAUUACUACUUGCAUCUCACAGGUCAGGACCUGGAGCUUUCAGAGGUCCGUAACCUUCCCAUGGUCAUACUGUGGCUAAGAGGACAAAACAGGAAUCUGGCACAGCGUGGCCUAGGGAGGACAGGGGAUGCUUGUGGUCUGAAAAAAGAAGAGGACACAGA
This 348-nucleotide long non-coding RNA is filed under the name Heterocephalus glaber (naked mole-rat). Its description in RNAcentral is "lncRNA (ENSHGLG00000035075.1)". The record is from RNAcentral. Lineage: Eukaryota; Metazoa; Chordata; Mammalia; Rodentia; Bathyergidae.